Non-coding RNA from Danio rerio (zebrafish), 1824 nucleotides. The record is from RefSeq and is a predicted model, not a curated record. Lineage: Eukaryota; Metazoa; Chordata; Actinopteri; Cypriniformes; Danionidae.
ACUUGCUGCUAAUGUGAGACAGAAAAUGUGACAUCUGCACAGUAAACCUUCUGGAUAUUUCUGCAUUGUGUUGUGUGGGCUUCCUGUCAACAGGUUCCUGUCUCUGGCCUCGUCCCGUCUCUCCAGCAUUUGCUGAAACGUCUCCUGGCAACAGUGUGUUUCCUGGUCUCUGGAUUCUCUAUUCAUUUUCAUGCUGUCCAGAAAUUGGCAGAUGUUAACAAACAGAGCGGCGUCCUGCGAGCAAAAACCUCUUUGUGGUCUUUGGUUGUGUUACUUGAGCUCGGAACUUGUAGCUUAUUAAUCUGCCGUUGUUUGGGAGUUGUCAGCGAGAGGCGACGGGCGCGCAUGCCAAAAGACAUCCAGCAGCUGGAGCACCUACACUACUGACAGUUUACAAACCUUCAGCACUGAAAUUGCUGGGAGUGAGAGCUGGGCUUCAGCUGGCAGCUGAACAAUUUGUUUAGUGAACUGGAAUACCAGAGCUUGGCACCAUAUGUUCACCCAGAACAAUAAGCCUGUGCGACAGUUAUCUGCGUCUGUAUUUAGAAGUCGUCCAGUGAUCGGACCAAUUUCCUGAGAGCAGUUUAGACUGUGAUUUGUCCUUGCUUGUUUAAUCCUUCUCUUUCUAUUUAUCUCUUACUUUUAGUUGUUGUUUUUUUACAUCCACCUGAUGUUAAAUAGGGUCGCCUGACUUUGACUUGAUUAGAUCCCAGCCUGGAGAGGGAAUGGCCCUCUGAUAAACAAUUUUGCCUGAAAACGAACGUGUAGCAAUUCAAUUACCAUUCAAUCAGCGAACGCUUGAGGCCUUUAAUGAUUUUAGCACACAAUCAAAUCCUUGCUUUCUUAAAGAGGCCUCUGAGCUUUUUUGUGCAAUUGUAGAAGAAUAUGAAACAUCCCAAAGUCAUCAAUACAUCACUUCAUGUUGAAAGGACCGUCCAAAAGAGUGAAAAUUGGCCGUUUUUAAUCUCCUGAAUGGCAAUUGUUUCAUAAUUUGCUAUCAGCUACAAAGCACAAAAAGCUGUGUGUGAGUGAUAAAGGAAACAAAAGUGAAGACAAACAACACCAAAAAAAAACAUUUAUUCUUAAUAUCAGCCCUUCAUGCUCACAUAUGAAUCACAGAAUGUGGCUAUAAGCUUAAAAUAGCAUUGAUUUUUCAGUAUUAGAUCCAAAAGAAACAACGAUAAGCUCUAAAAAGUUGACUAAAUGUGACACAAUUUAAUCUCUUAUCGUCUGAAAUCAUAAGUGUGUAAUUCAAGUGUUUUUUGAUGAGUCUGUCAAGAAUAAAAGAACACCAGGCUCUGAAAUGGUACUGCAGGAAUUUCAAUGUCACCAAUCCAGCGCGAGAGAGAGUGAAGAAAAGACCGAAUUUACUCACCCAAAGGAAAAUUGUAUUGCUCAGAGGUGGUUUGUUCACAGCUCACAAGACUUGAGGGAGUAGCUCACCUCAAUAUGAGAAGCGUUUACCCUCAUGCUGCUCCAAAUCUGUAUGAUUUUCUUUUAUCUGCAGAGCACAGACGGUGACUUUUUGAACAAUACACUGGAAGCUGUUUUCCAAUAGUCCAGUGCUUUUAAAAUGGGCUUUAAAACCCGCACGAGCUACAAAAACUGCUAUUUGACACUUUCCACUGAUUUUUGGGUUUCAUAAUCAAACAUUCACAUGGUUUUCACUAUAUUUGAAUCGAAAGCUCCAGCAGUAAAAGAAAAUUAAAGCCUCGUUCAGACCAUAAUGAUGAAAAAGGUCCUCCAUUUAAAAUGUAAUACUCAUUUUUUUUUCUGUAGUGAAAUUGAUUUUUAACAAUAAUACAGACCUAUUGUGAGCUCUGA